UAAAUUCUAGCUUUUUUUUCCUUGCCUUUUGGGAACAGAAUUUCUGCUAGGGUAGCUUUGAACACCCAGGCCUCCUGCUUUAGCCUACUGAGUGCUCAGAUUAUGGGUGAACGCCACCACACCGUAGUCCAUGCUGGUUAUAUAGACCAGAGGUGCUGAACUUCCAGCUAGGAGGUAGCUCAGACAGUGCUUCUGAUGUAGGACCUGAAUCAGAGUCAACUCAAUUUUGAAAGACUCAUAUUUCAGGAUGGAGUUUUCUUCUGUAAGAAUUAAUUUUGAUUGGUGGGGAGCAGGAUGGUGGAAAGAAGUUGGAAAUGACAUAGAGCAUUUUGCCUUAGCAUGUAGACAUGAGACUGAAACAUACCCAUUAGGGAGGAACACGUCAGAACUGACAUCGAGGUAAUGGUUUGGGAGUACAGAGUCUGGUCUCGUUUGACUCUAAUCUACAUGCUUGCAUGACUGAAACUGAAACUAUACAAAAUUAGAAAAGAAAAAGCUUUACUUUCAUUCCCUGUAGACGGGGCAGAAUUAGCCAUUCACACCAAUGGUUGCCAUGGGUAGAUGGAGACCAUUCUCUAUAAGAGAACCAAGGAAUUUAAAGAAAGUGGGUGCUAUUUAGGUUGAAGUACAAGUCCACAGCCUGUUCCAGUCUGGUCCUGCAACGAGGGAGCCAAGAAGAUCACUUCUCUCUUCCUGGUACGUGUGAUAGAUUUUAACUACAUUAUGACUUUGAAUAACAAAUAAAUAUCUAACAAUAUCCCCAGAAACUUGUUUUGAAUAUUUGAAAAUUCCAGAAUCAGCACAUUAAAAACGAGUACCUACUUGUCUGGGGUAUGCAAUGUGCCGGGUCAGAGAAGAAACAAAAUAGUUUUAAGCUGUCUUCAACUUAUUUGUGAACUAAAAGGAGAAGCCCCAUCCUUAUGAUCAUGCUUGUUUUUCUUCCUAUGUCCCGGAAUGUUUGUCUCUAACCAAAUACGACUGACUAGGUUUGUCCAGAGGCCAUCAAAGGGUUAGAGGUAAGAAGGAAGUGUGGAAAGUUGACAAGGAAUCACCAAAAGAAGACCCAAAAGAGAAAGUCCCAUUAAGCUUGAUGACAAACACAGUCUAAAGCCAUAUCCAUGAGUGCCAGGUUUUUCAAACUGAAGUAACCAACGACAUCAAAACUGUGGACAAAGCUUCUUUGUGAAGAGGUGAAGAAGAUUUGGUGUUCGUUAAGAAGCAAACGAGCAGGGGUUGGGGAUUUAGCUCAGUGGUAGAGCACUUGCCUAGCAAGCUCAAGGCCCUGGGUUUGGUCCCCAGCUCCGAAAAAAAGAAAAAAAAAAAAGAAAAAAAGAAAAAAAGAAGAAGCAAAUGAGCUAACCUGUUCUCUGUGCUCCAAAAGGACAACACAGCUCUAUUUUGGCGAGUUAGAUCUAGUUUCCUUUGAAGAGCUCUGGGUGAGCAUUUGCUGCAUACCACGUGACUGGACGCUAUUGACUUAGUGGGAUACCUUGAGAUGAAAAAUCACAACAGAAAUGCUUCUUGAUUAAUGAAAUAUUCUCAUUCAAAUCCAAGAUCUCGGUUAUCUCAGUCUUGGCUAGAGAAGCAGUCAACACAGAGGCUCAUAACUGGGCUAUGUGCCGUGGAACAGCUUCUUGUUCAGACACUUUCUAAGGGCAAAAAAGGGCAAGUAGAAAACGACGGUGGAAAAAGCAUUUGGAGCAGGUUAGUCAUAGAGGAGAAAGUGUAAGUACAGUACUAUUUGCUAAGACCACAAUAGGAAGUGUGAUUGUGGUGUCCAUGCGUCCUUGUAUUGUAGAAGGAGAGGGCAGUGUUAAGUGACUGAAGCCUUCCUUUGAUACUUGUUGAUCCUUUCUAUAAGGAGGGAUGCCUCUUACACAGGCAGGGCUUAGCAGGUCGCCUGUCAGGACAAGCCCAGAGGUGGCAUUACUUGCUGUUUGCUGAUCAAUGAGUCUUUGGAGCUCUAAGAACUCAGGCUCAAGGAGUGACUCUGGGAAGAUGAGUUGUGUGGCUCUGCCCUGGAUUCCACAGUCUAGCACAGGACGGUGAUUUAGUGCCUCGUGACUCAAAAUCCCCAAAGCUUGCUUACUUUUCCUCAGCCUGCAGUGCCCAGAAUGGAGCUGUUGGCAAAUCGCAGUCCACACCCCCACUUUUCAAUCUUUUCGCUAAUUUCUUACUACUUCACUUGAGAGAGUCCCAGAAGAACGGUGUGAUGAUUCAUCAGCCCUACUUCCUCAUUUCUGCUGACAGAGAGCUAACUUUGUCUCCAUUUCCAUGGUCGUCCCAAAAGAGCAAAAACAAAACAACUUUAAAAAAAUUUUAAUUUGCUACGGUAAACCCCCUGAAGUGUGUUAUCCGUGGGGAACAAGAACAUGAUAAGCCCAAUGUGUCGUUUGCCUUUAAAAAUAUUUGAUGGCGAUUUUGUAAUUUUCUUUCUUAGUUUGGUGCGAAGUGACUUCCUGUGAGCUGGAGAGGCCAAAGGCUGGAGAGACCCCACUGUAGCCCAUUCUAUGACUGAGAGAUCCGAGACCCCAAGAGCCUACAAGAUUUCCUGUUUCUACACAACCGCUCAGUAGCAUACAGAUUUGGGCAGGGAUCUGCUAGUUUUAGGCUGUGAUUUUCUGUAACUUUGUGGAUGAUAAAUAGAUCGAAGCUUAUCUGUGCUAUGUCACAAGGAAACACAUAACCAUAAAACUUUCUGGUGAGAGCAUUUCUUUGUUUGGACAGAGGAGAAUGGGGGAAAUCAUGUCUGUUUCCUAAUAUGUGUUGUAAGAAUGGGUGGGAAGGUGCUCAUAGUUUAAGCACACAGUAGGUGGUCAGUAAUAACUUUAAUCAUUACAGAUGACCUGGUAAAGUGCUCCCUGGUUCUCUGAGGCUUCCUUUCACCCAUUUCUGUUCUUUAGGCCAGAGUGCUUUCUCCUGCUCUGCAAGGCUCAGCGCUGAAUUUCCUGUGACAUUUGCAUCUGAGUUGUCUCAUUUCCCUGAAGCCCUGUCACAAGCCCUGAGGUUGCUACAGAGAAAGAUCUGAAACCCCCGCCAGGGAAGUCCCAUGGAGAAGUAUUGCCUUCCUUUCUGGAGUUUACAGCUCUCUUCCAGAUAGCUGACCCUCUCAGCUGUGGCUCCCAGGCCACUGAUAGGGCAAAGGGUGGUGGUGGCCAGGGACUGUCCCCCAGGUCUGCUUCUGGCCCUGGCUCCUUCCAGCAUCCCCUUCAGAUGACUUUGUCUGACUUUCCCCGAUUUUGUGCUUUGCUUUUCACCCUCCUCCCCCACCAGUGGAAAUUUAGAGGGUUCUGUGGUUCUUACAGGACUCUGGGGCUGUACAUUUAAUGUGCUCACUUCCUCUAUAGAUCCCAGGGGAUUCCUAAAGCAGAUUGCUUGCCCAGCACCCCAGCACGCUCCCUCACCCAGGAUGGAGUUGCCACAUAGGCGGACUCUUCAAAGUCUCAGCUACAAAAAUAUGUGUGUGUGUCUGUGUGUGUGUAUGUGUGUGUGUGUGUGUGUGUGUGUGUGUGUACAUCCAUUCAUUUUUGCAGCAUUUUUUUGUAAUUUAAAUUUACAUUUUCUAUAAUUUAAAUGCCAUGUGUCUAUCACAAUAAAAUAGUCAAUUUAAUUAAGUGUUUAUUUAUUUAAUUAUAGUAUGUAUGUCUGCAUUUCUGUGCUUAUAUAAGUGCUUGUGUGGAUGUGUCUCUGAGUAUAUUGUUCGUGUGUUUGCACAUAUGUGGUAGGUGUAUGUCUGUGUGUGUGC
Molecule: small RNA, 3745 nt
Filed under: Rattus norvegicus (Norway rat)
Lineage: Eukaryota; Metazoa; Chordata; Mammalia; Rodentia; Muridae
Description: uncharacterized LOC102555751
Source: RNAcentral